Molecule: long non-coding RNA, 755 nt
Filed under: Oryzias sinensis (Chinese medaka)
Lineage: Eukaryota; Metazoa; Chordata; Actinopteri; Beloniformes; Adrianichthyidae
Description: lncRNA (ENSOSIG00000017080.1)
Source: RNAcentral
GAGGGACUUGAGGAUGAUCUUUAAAUAGGUCAAGCAGGAGGAUGAGGAGGAUUUUCACGGAAGAAAUCUGCUUUAGCGGGCUUUGGGACCGGCUUUUCCGCGUUUUUUAAGUUCCCUGAUCUUAAAUACAACGUUGACUAAUGAGUGAAUGUUGUGUUUCAGGCAAACGAAAGCUAUCUGAUGAACGAGGAGCCCUCCAGAGGUCCUGGGAUGCCUGAAUGCUUCGUGGUGUCAGACUCUUACAGGUAUUACCCCACUCACCUUCUAAACAAUGCCUUAGUGGUAAGUCCUGUGAAGUCGCUGUUUAUUCAGCAUUAGGUGUCUGUCUGUGUUUGUUUUUUGUCCUUUCUUUCCUCCUCAGUUUUCCCUCCCCGUUUGCGCUCCUCCCGCUGCGCCACUGAGGCGCGCGCGGGCUCCUCUCCACCUGGAAUAGCUCCUCUGCGCAGGAGACGAUGCAAAUGCGCGAACUUUCUGAUGACCUGCACGAUCCUGGCAGUGGGAAAAAAAUCCAGAAAUUUAGGUUUUACCAGAAAAAUACGUCUGACUAAUUACUAGUCAAUAACGCGCGCAGAGAGAAGAAUCCGUCAAUUAGCGGACAGAUCCUUCAAAGCUGUCCAAUGUAGAUUAUUUUCUCCACCUGUUAUUUUUCCUGACUAAUAGUCACAACUCCCAAAAGGCUUCGUUCUGCUUUUUACGUGCUGAAUGGCUGCAGAGGAUAAUAUUUUUCGUGCGUCACUGAGACAGGGGCGCAUCCA